This 298-nucleotide long non-coding RNA is filed under the name Amborella trichopoda. Its description in RNAcentral is "long non-coding RNA (ATRI_LNC002714)". Lineage: Eukaryota; Viridiplantae; Streptophyta; Magnoliopsida; Amborellales; Amborellaceae. The record is from RNAcentral.
CAAGUAUAGAAGGCCAUAACCUUUUCCCUGCUGCAUCUUUUUGGGUGGGGAUUUAUUGGUAACCUUAGAAGUUGCCUCUAUGGAGAUUGAAAGGCGACAACAUCUCAGCUGAAACAGUAAUACUGGGACGAUCGGUACACCAUGUGCUUGUAUAAAGCUGGCCUCGAACAUUUUAACUCGUUUCUUUUUAAGUGAACAAUUUGAUCAUUGUUCCUCUUGCAUUGUGGAUAUUUUUUAAGUGGAAAAAGUUUAUAUAAGUUGUCAACCUUAUAUUUCUUCAUGCAUCAGUAGAUAGUAG